Bos taurus (domestic cattle) is the source of this 1967-nucleotide long non-coding RNA. The record is from Ensembl. Lineage: Eukaryota; Metazoa; Chordata; Mammalia; Artiodactyla; Bovidae.
GUCUCCGUGGGGGCUCCAAAGGGGGCUGGCUAACUUCUUUGCUGACCUCCACCUUUCUUUCUGCCUGUUGAAUCUGGGUCCCUCUUGGGUCUACAUGUCAGUGACAGAGUAAUUUCUCUGGAAAGCAAUUACUUCUCAGUCCCCUUCUCGGUCUUUCUGACGGGGUUUGGUACAGGCCCAAACCUCAGGGCCCGUAUGUCUCCUGUAUAGGUGUUGGGAGAGAGAAUGAGAAGCCGCGUACAGGGGGUGAGAGGGCGCCCCAAUUUUGGCCAUGACUAUCUACUCUUGCUCUCACAGAAUUUCCUCUUGGCUAAGCUUUCUUCUAUGUUUGCAUGACUGAAGUUUCAGUCUAAAAGCCAGUCAGGUCAAUCAGCGCUGUGGUUGUCUCUCAAUUGUUUGUAGACGUGGAGGGGCAAAGAGGGCGAGUACCUGGCUCCUGUCUCUGAUCAGGACACACCCGGGUCAGAAAGAUGAGGUCUGUCCGGUUCUGCAAGGGUGUUAUUUGAAGAAUGAAAGGGGACGACUUCGUCUGGUACUCAGAGAAGCCCAAUCAUUCAUAGAGCUGCAGGAGCUGCUGAAAAACAUUGAAAUGCCAACAGAAUGUUGAAAGCAAAGUCUUCAGAGAUUUCCCAUCAUCCAAAAUUCAGGAGACAUUAAGCUCCAUUGAGCCAAUGGAUUCAUUGAUUCCAUCUAUUCGACUACCAAAGUUAGAAUCAAAUAAAAGCAAAUGCAAAUAAAAAGCACCCUUGUCAGCAGUCACGUUUGGUCGGAAGAUCAGCUUUGCUGCAUCCGAAAGGUCACUGCCCAGAGGAGCACACUUUGGACCCUGACAAGCAACGUGCCAUGAAUUGACUUGGAGGCACAGCUGACACUUGUAAAUCCCACCCCCAGCCCGGCCGUCAGCUCAUCCCACCUCAUCAUGCCUCUCAGAUACGCUCACAGCCCAGAUUUUCAAGUACCAGACCUCACAGGAAGAGGCCAAUCAUCCGCAUGUAGAAGUCUGUGUUAAAUGAAAUACAGGAUCAAGCCAAGGAGCCUGAGUUAGGGACUGGUGUUGACAGCUCCUCAUUCCCGCCACUUACUAAUUUUAUUUCCCUCCUCAGCUGGUGUCAUUGCCUAAAAACCUUUUAAGCACAGGUUUUCAUAUUCUGUGAUUUAACUCUUUAGGACCUUCUGUAACAGGGGAACUAAUGACCUCUUCUCUAUGAACAUUUUAAAUUGAGCUUAUUCUUAUGGAAAUUUGAUCUUUAGUGGUUUUAUCAGAGUGAUUUUGUUUAAAGCUGGGUAUAAACCUAGGUAUUCUAACCCUGAGUUUACCACGGACAGUUGAAGAUUAGACUUGUAACAAAAGACACAGGUAUUUAUUUUGAAGUUGCCUUCUCUCCUGGACUUUACAGUUGGGGUGUGUGUGUGUGUGUGUGUGUGUGUGUGUGUGUAUUUUGAGAACGUUUUACUGCUAUACCCUCUCUUUCUCUCAUGGGUUGGUUAAAUAUCUGUGUUUUCAGAGUAAGCAGAGGACAGAAAGCAGAAAGAAUUUGAAAUUACAAAUUAAACUAGUUGUGCUAGAAGUAAAAUGUUACUAAGUGAAGAGCUGAUGGGUUGGAACCCUCAUUGACAAUCGUUCCUAUUUUUAUAUCUAGCAAAUUUUAAUUGAAGUAUAGUUAGUUUGCAAUGCUGUGCUAAUUUCUGGUAUAUAUAUAUAUAGCAAAGUGAGUCAGUUUUUUAUAUAUAUAUAUUUCUUUUUCCUAUUAUUUUCCAUUAUGGUUUAUUACAGGAUAUUGAAUAUAGUCCCCUCUUCUGUACAGUAGGGCCUUGUUGAUUAUUUUAUAUAUAGUAGUUUGUAUCUUCUGAUCUCGCACUCCUAAUUUACCCCUCCCCAACCCCAUUUCCCUUUGCUCACCUUCAGUUUGUUUUCUAUGACUGUGAAACUGUUAUUUUUUCUUAAAUAAGUUCAUUUGUGUUGUAUU